AUUGAACGCUGGCGGCAUGCCUUACACAUGCAAGUCGAACGGCAGCACGGGAGCAAUCCUGGUGGCGAGUGGCGAACGGGUGAGUAAAGUAUCGGAAAGUGCACAGUCGUGGGGGAUAACGUAGCGAAAGUUACGCUAAUACCGCAUACGAUCUAUGGAUGAAAGCGGGGGAUCGCAAGACCUCGCGCGAUUGGAGCGGCCGAUAUCAGAUUAGGUAGUUGGUGGGGUAAAGGCUCACCAAGCCGACGAUCUGUAGCUGGUCUGAGAGGACGACCAGCCACACUGGGACUGAGACACGGCCCAGACUCCUACGGGAGGCAGCAGUGGGGAAUUUUGGACAAUGGGCGAAAGCCUGAUCCAGCCAUGCCGCGUGCAGGAUGAAGGCCUUCGGGUUGUAAACUGCUUUUGUACGGAACGAAAAGGUUUGGGCUAAUAAGCUGAGCUCAUGACGGUACCGUAAGAAUAAGCACCGGCUAACUACGUGCCAGCAGCCGCAGUAA
This 500-nucleotide ribosomal RNA is filed under the name uncultured bacterium. RNAcentral's name for it is "partial 16S ribosomal RNA". It matches the Rfam family "Bacterial small subunit ribosomal RNA", at positions 30 to 523 of the family's 1533-position model. The record is from RNAcentral.